This is a long non-coding RNA of Rhipicephalus sanguineus (brown dog tick), 1960 nucleotides long. RefSeq lists it as uncharacterized. The record is from RefSeq and is a predicted model, not a curated record. Lineage: Eukaryota; Metazoa; Arthropoda; Arachnida; Ixodida; Ixodidae. The transcript has 3 exons.
AUCGUAGUUCUUUCACUACAGCGCAGCUGUUGAAGUGACGGCCCCGGGCCCCCGUGCACGCAUGGGCCCGUCGUGGUGGUCGGUUCCGCCUCAGAAACGGCGCUUUCGGUUCUAUUUGGAACCGACUACAUCGUCAAAGUUCCCCUACAGAUUGUGUGGAGCCAGAAGAAAGAAUCGUCUGCUGCUCAAGAUGCUUCACAGGCAAGUUCAGAUGAGCUUACUGAGGAUAAUGUUGGGCUCGAAGAUGAACCAAAUCUGCAGGAUGAAUUUCCUAUAACAGCCAGCAAGGUCCAUGGUAAUUCGGAAUGUAGUCAAGCUCCGACAUAAUCCUGAGGGCUCCUGAGGAUGUUGAAGUCGACAACCCAGAUGCUGACCUCUGAUUGUGUGGCAAGAAAUUCAGCAGUAAUGCUUCCUGGCCUCUCUGUAAGUAGAUUGCAGGCUUGUGCUUGUGUGAGUCGUAUUUCAAUAAAAAUGUGCUUACUGGAUUACAACCACUGAUAGCUCAUAUUUGAAGGUACGAGAUCAAACGGCUCCGUGUAAAGCACCGAUUAUGUGAGAUACUGGUGAUGGAGUACUGACUCAGAUUUUAGAGGUUUCCAUAUUCUUGCGCUUAAUAAAAUUGGUGUCAAGAACACUAACAAGUUUGUUGGGGUUGCUCGGAACGCAUUUAGUAUAUUUUCAAUGCCACAUCCUUAAAAAAACAUUUGUGGCUUUCAUAUCGAGCUGGUGGUUACGUGUAAACACAGUGUGACUUAGGUCUAAGUCACGUGAGGACAGCAACACUUGAUGUUCUUGCAACACUCUGUAGUUUCGGAAAGGGCAUUUUGGAAGGCAACGGAAUGCAAAUUCUGGCUUUUGUAUUACAGUGUCCCAUGUCUCUAUGACAUUCUGCCUGAGAUACAUCAGGCAUUUCAUGUCGCUUUCAAACAGUGUCUUCAUGCUGCUCAAGGAAACUGUUGAGGAGUCUGAGACAUUUAUUGCUGAGAGAUUGUUAAAGAGGUUUGUUCAAGCGGUUUCCAUACUGUAUGGUGCAGCCGCUCAGACCACAUUAUUGUUAUGCCAGUAAAUUAUCUGUCAGCAGUAUUCUUUACCCUUCAUGUACAGCAUCGAGCAUCCACCAGCACAUGUAGGGCAGUGUUUGCUGCGUGAAAGCAGCAUGGCUUCACCAUGUGUUCUUGUAAAUCGAGGGGGAACAUUCGUUGUAGCAAAAUGCCGAAUGUUUUUGAAGGUGACUAAAUGAUGUGUGCCAUAUUUUUCUAGUGUACGAGACGUGUUUCUCCAAAAGUUCAUAUGGUGCACAUUGUACAACAGUUGAUAUGAUAGGUUAAAAUGUACAGUUUUCCUUUUCUUUCUUUCAUUGGUGAGCAUGUCUCCUUUUUUUCAGUGCACUUGUUAUUAAUCCCCCUGCCGCAUGCAGCAGAGUGUUUCUGCUUUUUAUUAAUUACUCAAGUGCCUUAUGUGUCAAAUAAUUACUCAUUACUUGGCGAAGGCCUUGUGAUAGUAAGGCAGAGACUAUUGCAGAAAUCUUUUUCGUUUAACAUUGAUCUGACACCUGAAUGUAACUACUCUGAUUGACGAUAUAGACUUAUACAGGAUUUUUUAAAGGAAGAUUCAGUCACACUUACUAUCUACAUAAAUAUAAUCACCAUGAUCAAAUCAUUGUUUUGUAUUCCCUAAAGUAUUUUUUUUUUAUUUUUGAAACGUUAUAUACUGAAAUCUUACGUUUCGUCAUGCAAGUCACAUUCACGUUUGUUUAUGUUCUCAAACUUUGUUUCAUUUGUUGGUCACAUAUAUGCCUUACUGAUGUCAUUGCCUGGGCCAAUUCGCUCAUCUAUUUGUUUUCUUAUACACAUGUGACUUGCAUGUAGCAGUAUUAAUGAGAACUAACAGACAAUAAUGCCAAGGAAAGUAUAGGGGGUGUUAUUUGUAGCAAUUAGGAUAAAAUGUGAAGAAAGUAAAG